RNAcentral lists this ribosomal RNA (752 nucleotides) under Golovinomyces neosalviae. Its description in RNAcentral is "eukaryotic LSU rRNA". It matches the Rfam family "Eukaryotic large subunit ribosomal RNA", at positions 1 to 766 of the family's 3401-position model. The record is from RNAcentral. Lineage: Eukaryota; Fungi; Ascomycota; Leotiomycetes; Helotiales; Erysiphaceae.
UUGACCUCGAAUCAGGUAGGGAUACCCGCUGAACUUAAGCAUAUCAAUAAGCGGAGGAAAAGAAACCAACCGGGAUUACCUCAGUAACGGCGAGUGAAGCGGUAACAGCUCAAAUUUGAAAUCUGGCUCCUGCGGAGUCCGAGUUGUAAUUUGUAGAAGAUGCUUUGGGAGGUAGGACCGGCCUAAGUUCCUUGGAACAGGACAUCAGAGAGGGUGAGAAUCCCGUAUGCGGCCGAGGCCUAUGCCCGUGUAAAGCUCUUUCGACGAGUCGAGUUGUUUGGGAAUGCAGCUCAAAAUGGGUGGUAAAUUUCAUCUAAAGCUAAAUAUUGGCCAGAGACCGAUAGCGCACAAGUAGAGUGAUCGAAAGAUGAAAAGCACUUUGGAAAGAGAGUUAAACAGUACGUGAAAUUGUUGAAAGGGAAGCGCUUGCACCCAGACUUGGGCGUCGUCGAUCAUCCGAGGUUCUCCUCGGUGCACUCGGCGAUGCGCAGGCCAGCAUCGGUUUGGGUGGUUGGAGAAAGGCCUCUAGGAACGUAGCUCUCUUCGGGGAGUGUUAUAGCCUAGGGCGUAAUGCAGCCCAUCCGGACCGAGGACCGCGCCUUUGGGCUAGGAUGCUGGCGUAAUGGUUGCAAGCGACCCGUCUUGAAACACGGACCAAGGAGUCUAACAUCUAUGCGAGUGUUUGGGCGUUAAACCCAUACGCGGAAUGAAAGUGAACGUAGGUGAGAACCCGUUAGGGUGCAUCAUCGACC